This 402-nucleotide ribosomal RNA is filed under the name uncultured bacterium. RNAcentral's name for it is "bacterial SSU rRNA". It matches the Rfam family "Bacterial small subunit ribosomal RNA", at positions 355 to 774 of the family's 1533-position model. The record is from RNAcentral.
UCGGGAAUUUUGGGCAAUGGGCGAAAGCCUGACCCAGCAACGCCGCGUGGGGGAUGAAGUAUUUCGGUAUGUAAACCUCGAAAGAAUGGGAAGAAUAAAUGACGGUACCAUUUAUAAGCUCCGGCUAACUACGUGCCAGCAGCCGCGGUAAUACGUAGGGAGCAAGCGUUGUUCGGAUUUACUGGGCGUAAAGGGCGCGUAGGCGGCGCGGUAAGUCACUUGUGAAAUCUCUGAGCUUAACUCAGAACGGCCAAGUGAUACUGCUGUGCUAGAGUGCGGAAGAGGCAACCGGAAUUCUUGGUGUAGCGGUGAAAUGCGUAGAUAUCAAGAGGAACACCUGAGGCGAAGGCGGGUUGCUGGGCCGACACUGACGCUGAUGCGCGAAAGCCAGGGGAGCAAACG